Molecule: ribosomal RNA, 555 nt
Filed under: uncultured Planctomycetaceae bacterium
Lineage: Bacteria; Pseudomonadati; Planctomycetota; Planctomycetia; Planctomycetales; Planctomycetaceae
Description: bacterial SSU rRNA
Rfam family: Bacterial small subunit ribosomal RNA
Source: RNAcentral
GACNNUAACCUACCCCAGGGCUGGCCAUAGCCGCGGGAAACCGCGGGUAAUAGCCAGCGACGCAGCGGGCCGGCAUCGGUCUGCUGCCAAAGGUGUGACUCCGCCCUGGGACGGGCCGUCGUGGUAUUAGGUAGUUGGCGGGGUGAUGGCCCACCAAGCCUCUGAUGCCUACCGGGCGUGCGAGCGUGGCCCGGCACACUGGGACUGAGACACUGCCCAGACUCCUACGGGAGGCUGCAGUCGAGAAUCUUCGGCAAUGGGCGCAAGCCUGACCGAGCGACGCCGCGUGGAGGACGAAGGCCUUCGGGUUGUAAACUCCUGUCGAGGGGGAGGAAGGGGCGGCGGAGAGUCGUCCUUGACCGAUCCCUGGAGGAAGCACGGGCUAAGUUCGUGCCAGCAGCCGCGGUAAGACGAACCGUGCGAACGUUAUUCGGAAUCACUGGGCUUAAAGCGCGUGUAGGCGGGCCAGCACGUCGGCUGCUGAAAUCCCCCGGCUCAACCGGGGAACGGGCACCGAUACGACUGGCCUGGAGGGGAGUAGGGGGACCUGGAACU